Long non-coding RNA from Myotis brandtii (Brandt's bat), 1400 nucleotides. RefSeq lists it as uncharacterized. NCBI's taxonomy places the organism in Eukaryota, Metazoa, Chordata, Mammalia, Chiroptera, Vespertilionidae. The record is from RefSeq and is a predicted model, not a curated record. The transcript has 2 exons.
UUUUAUUUUAAUUAAACAAUAAUCAAAAGCCAUGGACUAUGAUGCAUUUAUCUGCUCGUUUCAACUAUGGCUAUUAUGCUAUAUCCGUCUUUGUUUUAUUGCAUUCCACAAAUGAACAAUUUCAUAGAAUUUCAUUGUCAAUCAAUUUAAUCUCCUUGUGUGUCUCCAGUGACUCUGUUAACCCAUCAUUUACAAUUUAUAACAUGAAAAAGGCAAUUUUCUCAGGAAGGACAAAGUAAAAGAGAAAACGAGGAUGUGGACAGGAAAAGGGAUGUGUGGAGAACUUCACGAGGAGUGGGCAGUUGAGGGACCCAGGCUGUGGGCAGCCCCGUCCCUCCCUCUGCUGCUUGGUACAGAGAUGGCCUCUCCCUCGGGUCCCUCAGACACCUGGAGGACAGAGGCUUAUCCGGACAAGCGCCCUGCCUGCCUUCCCAGAGAAAUGACACUUUGUGAAAAUUCCAGCAGGCCACCUCAUUGCUGCCGGGAGGUCACCUGGGCCAUGGUGACUUGACAAGGACCCACAGUGCCCUCGCCUCUCAUUUCUUCCCAGGCAUCGAAGUUGCCCUGCAAGGGGCAUCCGAGAAGGCCCAGAGGUGCCCCUGCCGGCCUGCCACAGUCACCAGGUGCUUCAGGUGCCAGAGAAGGCAGAGCCUGAGAGCAGGUGGUCAAGGUGGUGGGGACUGUAGGAGAAGGGUGCUGGGCUGUGGGCUGCUCAGUGCACCUGAGUGACCUGGAGGGACCUCCGAUGGCCGUGGAGGGGAGCGGGAGGGAAGACCCUGCGUGCUCCACCGCCCUCAUACUUCUUGGACCUCCGUGUGGCCGGCCUCAGAGCUGCUCGCGGAUCCACCCUCAGGUCACGCCGCCGAAUGUCUGAGCUUGAGCCCAGCGCGCCUCAGCAUUUGCCAAGGUUAAUGAAAGGAAGUGAUAACUCAGCAUUUAUUUCCUCCUCCUGGAUUUCGUAGCUGUAGACCUCACCCUACGUCAAAUUCCUCUUUCAAAGCUUUGGCUCCCCUGAAGACAGCCGGCCUCCAGGAGCAGAUCAGCCCGCCCACCGUGGGGUCUGCAGGGGAAACAGAUGAGCCUGGCUCUGCGGACAGCCAGAGACCACGUGGUCCAUCCUGGAAGCAUCCUCCUGCUUGAACGGUGAUAACAGGCUACUUCCACAGAAAGAAGGAGAGGGAAAGUGAGGAGCACAGUUGGAUGCUGGCGGCAGUGCGGGCUCCGGGCGCCCUCUGUGCUCGCCGCUGCUCCACCCUCCACACCGCGAAACAGUCGUCCACCGAGGCAGAGCGCUCGCACGUGUGAGGAUGUGGGUGGAUGUGACUCCCCACAAGGGAUUUUGCAACUUAUUGAAGUCAUUGUUUCCAGAAUAAACCAUGUGUCAUUCUUUCCCUUAGUAA